GACGUAGGUGGCGAACGUUAUCCGGAAUCAUUGGGCGUAAAGGGUGCGUAGAUGGCAUGAUAAGUUAUUAGUGGGAAAUCGAGGCUCAACCUCGUGGAAGCUAGUAAUACUGUUUUGCUUGAGUACAGAAGAGGUUAAUGGAAUUCCAUGUGGAGCGGUAAAAUGUGUAGAUAUAUGGAAGAACAUCAAUAACGGCGAAGGCAGUUAACUAUUCUGUUACUGACAUUGAGGCACGAAAGCGUGGGGAGCAAAACGG
Molecule: ribosomal RNA, 256 nt
Filed under: uncultured bacterium
Lineage: Bacteria
Description: partial 16S ribosomal RNA
Rfam family: Bacterial small subunit ribosomal RNA
Source: RNAcentral